GCAGUCGAGCGAGGCGGUUGGGCUUGCCCAACCAGUCGAGCGGCGAACGGGUGUAGUAACGCGUGGAUAUCUACCCUUUGGUGGGGGAUAACCCGGGGAAACUCGGGCUAAUACCGCAUGAGAUCCCGCUUUGCGGGAUCAAAGGGGGCCGCAAGGCUCCCGCCGAAGGAUGAGUCUGCGUCCGAUUAGCUAGUUGGUGAGGUAAUGGCUCACCAAGGCGACGAUCGGUAGCCGGCCUGAGAGGGUGAUCGGCCACACUGGAACUGAGACACGGUCCAGACUCCUACGGGAGGCAGCAGUGGGGAAUUUUGCGCAAUGGGGGAAACCCUGACGCAGCAACGCCGCGUGGAGGAUGAAGGUUUUCGGAUUGUAAACUCCUGUCAGUGGGGAAAAAGCGAGCUGGCUUAAUACGUCAGUGAGUUGAUUGUACCCGCANAGGAAGCCCCGGCUAACUCUGUGCCAGCAGC
Molecule: ribosomal RNA, 467 nt
Filed under: uncultured bacterium
Lineage: Bacteria
Description: bacterial SSU rRNA
Rfam family: Bacterial small subunit ribosomal RNA
Source: RNAcentral